AAGUCGUAACAAGGUUUCCGUAGGUGAACCUGCGGAAGGAUCAUUACAAUACGUUACUUCACGUAUCAACCCAAACUGUUGAACUGUAAAAAGGCGUCCGAUAGGAAAGACACUUCAUGGGUUACGAGAGACUGGCGGCUUUGAAGUUGUGCACUUCGGUCGGUUUCUCUUUUUUGUUUCUGAGCAAUCGGAGCAAAAAGCCCCCGUUUUUCCUAGUUCGCGUAUUUAUUUACAUUUUUUAACCCCUUUCACCAAACUAUUAUUUCAACAACCAAUUGAACUGAAUUCGAAGGAUGCUGAAAAGCGUCUAUUUCGAUUCUAUCUUUACGAAACGUAAGAACAACUCUUAACAACGGAUAUCUUGGCUCUC
Molecule: unclassified non-coding RNA, 370 nt
Filed under: fungal sp.
Lineage: Eukaryota; Fungi
Description: partial internal transcribed spacer region
Rfam family: Eukaryotic small subunit ribosomal RNA (bases 1-46)
Source: RNAcentral